This 82-nucleotide transfer RNA is filed under the name Escherichia coli. Its description in RNAcentral is "tRNA-Thr". The record is from RNAcentral. Lineage: Bacteria; Pseudomonadati; Pseudomonadota; Gammaproteobacteria; Enterobacterales; Enterobacteriaceae.
UUCGAUAUGUAUUGAUUUUAUUAGAUCAAUUUACGCAUUCGUAAUGCGAAGGUCGUAGGUUCGACUCCUGUUAUCGGCACCA